CCGAAUGGUUUUCCUUUAGUUCUCUCUAGAGGGGAAUGAGAGAGUGUUCUUGAGUGUGCCUUAGGGAGAGAAUCCUUAGCUUUUUUUUUUGGUUAUGAGGAGAAACCUCAUCCUUAUACCUAAUGAGCUUUAUGGAUGGGUGGAUAGUGUUAUCCUAUCCUGGAUAACACUAUUCUCAUCCUACCUUAUUCUCCUUAACCUUAACACCUGAAAACCUGUUGCUCUACAAAUGGG
RNAcentral lists this long non-coding RNA (234 nucleotides) under Lupinus angustifolius (narrow-leaved blue lupine). RNAcentral describes it as "long non-coding RNA (LANG_LNC002344)". Lineage: Eukaryota; Viridiplantae; Streptophyta; Magnoliopsida; Fabales; Fabaceae. The record is from RNAcentral.